GGACCUCAACCCUGGCCAGAUACGCUGCAGCAAGCGAGAGGUGGUGCUGACAAGGGGAGCAGAGCGGCUGGCCACCCGGGAAGAUGGAAGAAAGCUUUAUGACUACUUCAGCUCCUUUGAGGGAAUUGGAGGCUUCCAAGACCACUUUGACUGGUGGGCCAGAAAUCAGUUCUCUUCCCGGGGUGGGAAGCCCCUAUGGAUUGACCCCCAUGAUCCCAGCAUUCACCACAUCUUCAUCGAUGACAACAUCCGGCUGGACGAUGAGGAUACCAUUGUUCAUCCCCAGGUGUUUUCAGAGCAGGGCAGCAGCAGCCCCAGGCGUGCUCCCACCUCGGAGCUGUACAACGUUUGCUUGGUGCAGAAUGACCUGCUGGAGGCCAUUGCCGACGAGGACUAUUUCCUGCGCUGUGUGAGGAGGUGUGAGGAGAACUACGACCGCUACCUGGCCUGCAUGGAGAAGGACACCCCGAGCCAGCGGUGGGAUGGAUAGUGAUGCCACCCCGAGGGGCUCUGGACUGGGACAGCCCCUGUUUCCUGUUGCAUGCAGGCAAAGUUCCGGGCUGGGCUCCUGCUUCAAGCUAUCCCCUCUCCAAUGUGUGACAUGCCUUUUCAGUCCUACCAGGAGCCUCCGUGCCUGCGCACAAGCAUCCUGGGAGCUUGUGUGACAGGAUCCCUGGAGAAAACGGCCUUCCUUUCUUUGGCAGCGCUAUGGGGAGCUGCCUGCUUCGCUGGAGCCCCUCUGCAGGCAGCACUGCCCGUUUUGCCUGCUCCUGUGUGAGGGCUGGGACUCAUGGUGCCCCUCUGCUCACCAGGCAGGGCCCUCCUGCUGCGGCAGUAAUAUAAGCAGCCACAGAGUGUUCACGCCUCCCUUCCCGCUCCUGCACCGGUGGCUGGUGCGGAGCAGGUGCCAGGGUGAGCGCAGUGUUACCGGCAGCACGCCCAAGUGUCAUUUGCACCAUGGUGUUCUCCUUGGCAGAGCUAGUGGUGCCGUGUCACUUCUGCCUGUUUUUAAAGCA
RNAcentral lists this long non-coding RNA (1016 nucleotides) under Buteo japonicus. RNAcentral's name for it is "lncRNA (ENSBJAG00000006157.1)". The record is from RNAcentral. Lineage: Eukaryota; Metazoa; Chordata; Aves; Accipitriformes; Accipitridae.